RNAcentral lists this transfer RNA (72 nucleotides) under Ovis aries (sheep). It matches the Rfam family "tRNA". From Rfam's summary of the family: Transfer RNA (tRNA) molecules are approximately 80 nucleotides in length. Their secondary structure includes four short double-helical elements and three loops (D, anti-codon, and T loops). Lineage: Eukaryota; Metazoa; Chordata; Mammalia; Artiodactyla; Bovidae. The record is from Rfam by way of RNAcentral.
UCCCUGGUGGCUCAGACGGUAAAGCAUCUGCCCGCAAUGCGGGAGACCUGGGUUCGAUUCCUGGGUCGGGAA